UGUUUUUCCGACGAGAGCGGUUUUCGCUUUGGGGGGAUUUUUCCUUUGGGGCGGACGAAGAUGGAAUCGGGUGCGAAUCCCGGGCAGUCCCGCUGCUGUGAGCCUUAACAAAAUGCGCGCGAUACGCCACUGUCCGCGAGGGGCGGGAAGGCCGCGCGCAAAGGCGAGCCAGAAGACAUGCCGCUUUUCAAACAUUCGG
Molecule: non-coding RNA, 199 nt
Filed under: Verrucomicrobiota bacterium
Lineage: Bacteria; Pseudomonadati; Verrucomicrobiota
Source: RNAcentral